GCUGGACGUGGUGGCUCACGUCUGUAAUCCCAGCACUUUGGGAGGCAGAGGUAGGUGGAUCACCUGAGGCCAGGAGUUCGAGACCAGCCUGGCCAACAUGGUGAAACCCUGUCUCUA
This is an unclassified non-coding RNA of Pongo abelii (Sumatran orangutan), 117 nucleotides long. It matches the Rfam family "Metazoan signal recognition particle RNA". Rfam says of the family: The signal recognition particle (SRP) is a universally conserved ribonucleoprotein. It is involved in the co-translational targeting of proteins to membranes. NCBI's taxonomy places the organism in Eukaryota, Metazoa, Chordata, Mammalia, Primates, Hominidae. The record is from Ensembl.